This 24-nucleotide transfer RNA is filed under the name Lilium regale. Its description in RNAcentral is "partial tRNA-Leu". The record is from RNAcentral. Lineage: Eukaryota; Viridiplantae; Streptophyta; Magnoliopsida; Liliales; Liliaceae.
UUUUAAUACUUUCUUAAUUUUUUA